Molecule: signal recognition particle RNA, 361 nt
Filed under: Pan troglodytes (chimpanzee)
Lineage: Eukaryota; Metazoa; Chordata; Mammalia; Primates; Hominidae
Description: Metazoan signal recognition particle RNA
Rfam family: Metazoan signal recognition particle RNA
About the family: The signal recognition particle (SRP) is a universally conserved ribonucleoprotein.
Source: Rfam by way of RNAcentral
GCCGGGCGUGGUGGCGCGCGCCUGUAAUCCCGGCUACUCGGGAGGCUGAGGCAGAAGAAUCGCUUGAACCCGGGAGGUGGAGGUUGCAGUGAGCUGAGAUUGCACCACUGCACUCCAGCCUAGGCUAUGACAGAGCAAGACUCUGUCUCAAAAAAAAAACUUGAGCCUGGGCAACAUAGUGAGAUCCCAUAUCUACCAAAAAAUUAAAAAUUGGCUGGGCAUGGUGGUGAGAGCCUACAGUCCCACUUACUCGGGAGGCUGAGGCAGGAGGAUCACUUGAGCCCAAGAGGUCUAGGCUGCAGUGAGCCUUGAUUGUACCACCGGACUUCAGCCUGGGUAACAGAGCGAGACUCUGUCUCUA